GAUGAACGCUGGCGGCGUGCCUAAUACAUGCAAGUCGAGCGGCAGCGAGGGGUGCUUGCACCCUGUCGGCGAGCGGCGGACGGCUGAGUAACGCGUGGGAACGUGCCCCAAAGUGAGGAAUAACUGCCCGAAAGGGUAGCUAAUACCGCAUAUUAUCUUCGGAUCAAAGGAUUUAUCCGCUUUGGGAGCGGCUCGCGUCGGAUUAGGUAGUUGGUGAGGUAAUGGCUCACCAAGCCGACGAUCCGUAGCUGGUCUGAGAGGAUGACCAGCCAGACUGGAACUGAGACACGGUCCAGACUCCUACGGGAGGCAGCAGUGAGGAAUCUUCCACAAUGGGCGAAAGCCUGAUGGAGCAACGCCGCGUGCAGGACGAAGGCCUUCGGGUUGUAAACUGCUUUUAUAAGUGAGGAAUAUGACGGUAACUUAUGAAUAAGGAUCGGCUAACUACGUG
This 451-nucleotide ribosomal RNA is filed under the name uncultured bacterium. RNAcentral's name for it is "partial 16S ribosomal RNA". It matches the Rfam family "Bacterial small subunit ribosomal RNA", at positions 28 to 507 of the family's 1533-position model. The record is from RNAcentral.